This 467-nucleotide non-coding RNA is filed under the name Pan troglodytes (chimpanzee). Lineage: Eukaryota; Metazoa; Chordata; Mammalia; Primates; Hominidae. The record is from RNAcentral.
UGUCAGCAGGCCUGGCAGAUGGGAACUCAGCUCCGGAAUUAAUUGCUUGUUUGUCUCCGGCUGGGAGGCCGCCCCCCCCCCCGCCCUUCCCUGGCGACCAGUUGCUCUGUGCCUAGCCGGGCCCCAAAUGUCGCCGGCAUCCGCGGCCGCAGGCAGCUCCGGGCCAGGCUCCGGGUCAGCCCCAAAGCCCGGGUCAAGCCAGGCAGGCGCUGCGGGCGGGCUCCCCGUGACGCGAGUGCCCCCUGCCGGCCGCUGCGCACACGGCUCCGAGACUGGGGAGACAGCGCCGCGCGUCCCAGGCCUGAGGCGCACUCGGAAACUCCGAAGGUCGUGAUCCCGGCGGAGACCAGGACACGCGGCUGCCGGCGCAUACGCCUGGAAAAUGAAAACGGGCGUCAGCCCACAUCUGGAUCUGGGUACCCAGGACAACACCCAAACCCCACCGCGCACUGCCGGCAGACAGCACC